This is a long non-coding RNA of Chinchilla lanigera (long-tailed chinchilla), 1368 nucleotides long. RefSeq lists it as uncharacterized. The record is from RefSeq and is a predicted model, not a curated record. NCBI's taxonomy places the organism in Eukaryota, Metazoa, Chordata, Mammalia, Rodentia, Chinchillidae. The transcript is spliced from 5 exons.
GGCAUUUCUCCAUGGUCUAAUGACAAGCUUGCUGACCAUGGCUGGGUUCACGCUGUUUGUUGUCUUGCACUUUGUUCUGUUCCUAGGACAAGGAACUGUGUAAGAAGGCAUCUUUUGAAAGAGGGAGAAACAGCACUGUGAAUAUCAACAAAGAAAAAUAACCUAAAAAAACAAAAAUAUUGUAUUUCGUCUGAACUUUUGGAUCUGUUUAUGAAAAAUGUUUAACAAGAAACAAAAAUGCCCAUAUUCUAUAAAGGAAGAUUUCAAUCAGCAGUUUUCAAAGUAAGAUAAACUCCACAUUUUCCAAAGUCAAGACAAUUUUGAUUACAGUUCUAUCUUAGUUGGAUUUACUGAAGAGGUGGAUAAUUUUAGGAAGUAAUAUAGUGCAAGAGAGAACUAAGACAUCUCCUCUGAUAAUUUAAAUCAGAAGGAACUGGGAAGUAACUCUUCAGUGGCUGUGCCUCGCUGCAUUUUCUCCAGAGACCAUUUCGGGAGAAGACCUCUGUGGAGAAAUCUGGAAACACUGGCAUAUAUUCAAUGAGAUAUCUUUGGAACAAGAGCCAAAUCCAAAUGCAAAACUCGCUUAUAUUUCAUAUAAACCUUACACAUAUAGUCUAAAGGGUACAUAAGAAGCACUUAGAGAAACAAGAUGGAGGGUCAAGGGGCCGACUAAAUAGUAAAUCAGCUACCAUGGAAAGGUUGUAAGGAGAAAAUUUGGCUUAAGGAAAGUCUCAGCAAGUAAGUUUUCUGCAAGACAAUCCAAUAAAGUGGGUUAAAUGUGUACAUCCUGAGAUUAAGAAAUUUGCUCAAAUUUUCACAGCAAAUCAGUUGUUAGAUCAGAUUAGGAUUCAGCCCUUCUUUCUGGAGGAAAGAGAUCCAUUCAUCAACCCCAUGGAGAUUCAGGGAACAGAAUGGAGAUAGCCCUCUUUAUUCAAAAGAACACCAAGUUUACCAUCAAUUUCUCCAUUAAUAACUGAGUAGCAAGGAAAUUGUUAGAUCCCCACAACUGGACCCCACCCAGCUUGAGGAGAAAAAACCCUCACAGACUAGUCUGUUCAAACCAGAAACCCCUUCACCCAGCCUGAGAGAUCAAAAUCAGGUUGGUUCUCAGGCUUACAGGAAGCCCUGUAAAUCUGUUUAAUCCCACUCUAUAAGCAAACAAAAUACCACUGUUACCCUGCACUUCCCACCAGGUACUUCCCACCAGAGGCACCAGACCCAUCAAUGGCCCCUAACAAACCUAAAAGUUUCUAUCUUCCUCGACAGGACCCCCUCCCCUGCCUAAACUCCCCUGUACAGCAUAUCCUCUUCCUUUGUUUGGGCCAAUAGCCUUUGCAUCCUUUACCCAGCCAUACCCAGACUGAAAUA